Molecule: transfer RNA, 84 nt
Filed under: Candidatus Jettenia sp.
Lineage: Bacteria; Pseudomonadati; Planctomycetota; Candidatus Brocadiia; Candidatus Brocadiales; Candidatus Brocadiaceae
Also listed under: 2 other names
Description: tRNA-Leu
Rfam family: tRNA
About the family: Transfer RNA (tRNA) molecules are approximately 80 nucleotides in length. Their secondary structure includes four short double-helical elements and three loops (D, anti-codon, and T loops).
Source: RNAcentral
GCCAGAGUGGUGGAAUUGGCAGACACGCCAGACUCAAAAUCUGGUUUUCGUAAGAAAGUGGGGGUUCGACUCCCCCCUCUGGCA